UGCGAAGGCAGCUUUCUGGAUCAUUACUGACACUGAGGAACGAAAGCAUGUGUAGCGAAGAGGAUUAGAUACCCUCGUAGUCCAUGCCGUAAACGAUGUGUGUUAGACGUUGGAAAUUUAUUUUCAGUGUCGCAGGGAAACCGAUAAACACACCGCCUGGGGAGUACGACCGCAAGGUUAAAACUCAAAUGAAUUGACGGGGACCCGCACAAGUAGUGGAGCAUGUGGUUUAAUUCGAAGAUACGCGCAGAACCUUACCAACACUUGACAUGUUCGUCGCGACUCUAAGAGAUUAGAGUUUUCGGUUUGGCCGGACGAAACACAGGUGCUGCAUGGCUGUCGUCAGCUCGUGUCGUGAGAUGUUGGGUUAAGUCCCGCAACGAGCGCAACCCUCACUUUUAGUUGCCAUCAUUAAGUUGGGCACUCUGAAAGAACUGCCAGUGAUAAGCUGGAGGAAGGUGGGGAUGACGUCAAGUCCUCAUGGCCCUUACGUGUUGGGCUACACACGUGCUACAAUGGCAUCUACAACAGGAAGCAAAACGGCAACGUUAAGCAAAUCCCGAAAAGAUGCCUCAGUUCGGAUUGCACUCUGCAACUCGAGUGCAUGAAGCUGGAAUUACUAGUAAUCGUGGAUCAGCGUGCCACGGUGAAUGCGUUCCCGGGUCUUGUACACACCGCCCGUCACACCAUGGGAGUUGGUUCUACCUUAAGGCAAGGUUUCAAACCCUUGACCACGGUAUAGUCAGCGACUGGGGUGAAGUCGUAACAAGGUAACCGUA
Molecule: ribosomal RNA, 779 nt
Filed under: uncultured bacterium
Lineage: Bacteria
Description: bacterial SSU rRNA
Rfam family: Bacterial small subunit ribosomal RNA
Source: RNAcentral